CGUUAAUAGCGUUUAGGUGUGACGUUACUCGCAGAAGAAGGACCGGCUAACUUCGUGCCAGCAGCCGCGGUAAUACGAGGGGUCCAAGCGUUAAUCGGAAUUACUGGGCGUAAAGCGUACGCAGGCGGUUUGUUAAGCGAGAUGUGAAAGCCCCGGGCUCAACCUGGGAAUUGCAUUUCGAACUGGCAAACUAGAGUCUUGUAGAGGGGGGUAGAAUUUCAGGUGUAGCGGUGAAAUGCGUAGAGAUCUGAAGGAAUACCGGUGGCGAAGGCGGCCCCCUGGACAAAGACUGACGCUCAGGUACGAAAGCGUGGGGAGCAAACAGGAUUAGAUACCCUGGUAGUCCACGCCGUAAACGAUGUCUACUCGGAAUUUGGUGUCUUGAACACUGGGUUCCCAAGCUAACGCAUUAAGUAGACCGCCUGGGGAGUACGGCCGCAAGGUUAAAACUCAAAUGAAUUGACGGGGGCCCGCACAAGCGGUGGAGCAUGUGGUUUAAUUCGAUGCAACGCGAAGAACCUUACCUACUCUUGACAUCCAGAGAAUUCGCUAGAGAUAGCUUAGUGCCUUCGGGAGCUCUGA
This 582-nucleotide ribosomal RNA is filed under the name Shewanella algidipiscicola. Its description in RNAcentral is "bacterial SSU rRNA". It matches the Rfam family "Bacterial small subunit ribosomal RNA", at positions 453 to 1032 of the family's 1533-position model. The record is from RNAcentral. Lineage: Bacteria; Pseudomonadati; Pseudomonadota; Gammaproteobacteria; Alteromonadales; Shewanellaceae.